GAAAUGCGAUAAGUAAUGUGAAUUGCAGAAUUCAGUGAAUCAUCGAAUCUUUGAACGCACAUUGCGCCCGCCAGCACUCUGGCGGGCAUGCCUGUUCGAGCGUCAUUUCAACCCUCAGAACCCCUUGCGGGAUCUGGCGUUGGGGAUUGGCAUCCAGCCAGCCCCGAAAUCUAGUGGCGGUCCCUCCGCGACCUCCCCUGUGCAGUAGCGAUACCUCGCAGCGGGACAGCGGUCUGACCACGCCGUAAAACCCCCAACCUCUCAAGGUUGACCUCGAAUCAGGUAGGAAUACCCGCUGAACUUAAGC
Molecule: unclassified non-coding RNA, 307 nt
Filed under: plant metagenome
Description: partial contains 5.8S ribosomal RNA, internal transcribed spacer 2, and large subunit ribosomal RNA
Rfam family: 5.8S ribosomal RNA (bases 1-105)
Source: RNAcentral